CUGGUAUGUUAUGUUAUGCGGUAGAGGUAGUAGGAGGGGACCAGUCCCCGAGGAUCGGUUGUUAGGACCGAUGGGUAGUCAGCACCCCAGAAUGGCUUGACAUGGGUAGUCAGCACCCCAGAAUGGCUUGACACGGGUAGUCAGCACCCAAGAAUGGCUUGACACGGGUAGGACGGCACNCCCCCCAGAAUGGCCGUAUGGGUAGGUCGGCACCCCAGAAUGGCCGUACCGGGUAGUCAGGCACCCCAGAAUAGCCUGACAGUAUAUAUGUUAUGUGUUUGUAUGGUAUGUGGUACGAUGGGGGAAACUCACUAAGCUUUGCGUUUACAAUUUACAGUUUUGAUUUCAGGUGCCUCUUCAUCGAAGGGGAAGGAGCUGGCGCGGUAGCGG
Molecule: long non-coding RNA, 390 nt
Filed under: Lactuca sativa (garden lettuce)
Lineage: Eukaryota; Viridiplantae; Streptophyta; Magnoliopsida; Asterales; Asteraceae
Description: long non-coding RNA (LSAT_LNC001187)
Source: RNAcentral